AAAAAAAAGGAAAUUCUUAGAACAACAACAGUGAUAAAAUCAUCGGAGGCCGCCUGGCCAUGGCCCUGGCGAAGUAUUUUCCCGAAAAACAACGGCAUGUCGAUCAUAGUAUUCAUCGGCUAGCAGCUAUCCAGAUGCUACGACCCGAGAUAGCCACCGAAAUAUUUCCGAUGCACGUUCCGGACUCAUUGGCUGUAGCCCGUCUGAAAUUUGAACGACCGGCAUGGCAUGGUAAUUCCGAAAAUAAAUAAAUUAAAAUUA
Molecule: long non-coding RNA, 261 nt
Organism: Uranotaenia lowii
Lineage: Eukaryota; Metazoa; Arthropoda; Insecta; Diptera; Culicidae
Exons: 2
Source: RefSeq, a predicted model, not a curated record